Molecule: ribosomal RNA, 384 nt
Filed under: uncultured bacterium
Lineage: Bacteria
Description: bacterial SSU rRNA
Rfam family: Bacterial small subunit ribosomal RNA
Source: RNAcentral
AUUGAACGCUGGCGGCAUGCCUUACACAUGCAAGUCGAACGGCAGCGGACCUUCGGGUGCCGGCGAGUGGCGAACGGGUGAGUAAUAUAUCGGAACGUACCUUUCAGUGGGGGAUAACGUAGCGAAAGCUACGCUAAUACCGCAUAUUCUGUGAGCAGGAAAGCAGGGGAUCGCAAGACCUUGCGCUGAUUGAGCGGCCGAUAUCAGAUUAGCUAGUUGGUGAGGUAAAGGCUCACCAAGGCGACGAUCUGUAGCGGGUCUGAGAGGAUGAUCCGCCACACUGGAACUGAGACACGGUCCAGACUCCUACGGGAGGCAGCAGUGGGGAAUUUUGGACAAUGGGCGCAAGCCUGAUCCAGCCAUGCCGCGUGAGUGAAGAAGGCC